Molecule: long non-coding RNA, 10836 nt
Filed under: Marmota monax (woodchuck)
Lineage: Eukaryota; Metazoa; Chordata; Mammalia; Rodentia; Sciuridae
Source: RNAcentral
CAUAGGACCCUGACUCAUGUUCCUCCCUGGGAGAAGACGACACUUCUCACCCUAUUCCAUCAGUAGUGAACUUUCCAUUGGCCAGUGGAAUGUGAGCAGAAGUGACACAGGUCUUGCUUGAGAAGUUGGAUGCCAUUCCAUGAUUUUAUUAUAAGACCACAAGUCCCAGAUAGACCUACUCCUCUCCUUUAAUUUGGACCUCAGAAAGAAGAUACUGUGGAGCAGAACCACAACUGUCCUGGGAAGGGUAAGUAGCAUGAGCAAGACAGGAGACUUUAUUUUUGUGAGAUUUGGGACUGUUUGUUACGACAGUGCAACCUAGGGAAAGCUAAUUCAUAACAUCCCUGAUGGCACAAGGGCAUUGCCACACCUCUCUUGACUGCUUACUUCAGACUACUUGCUACUUGAGGAGUAACUUGUGUUUGGCCACUGUUAAUGUGAGACUGUGGUAAUGCUCUUUAAUGUCAGGAAAAUACUGGAUACAUUUUCCCCCCUCCCUGUUAUCUCCUCAAUGCUUCUCUCCAGAGAUAACCUGUGUAUUAGCCCCAAGGGUAGCUUUCUGUGUCUCAGGACUGGGACUAAGGUAUGGCAAGGGAGGAAACUUUGAAUGCAGAAUUUAAGGAGACCCUCACUCCCAGGCUCAUACAAAGCUGGCCCUUCUAUGAAGCAGAGAUUGAGAACUUCCUUAAAUUUAGCCCCUGGGACCCCUGGCUUUCCUGGUCUCCUUGGCCCUGCUGUUUUGCAUCUGUUUAUGUGGGCAAUGAUACAGUCAUUUUUCAAAAGUGAGAUGACUUAUAUUUUACCUUGAUUUGCAUUAAAAAAAACCUCAACAAUGAGUCAGAGCAAUCUAUUGUGUCAAUUCCCCACAAAUCUAUCUAAAAAUUUUAAUGACCAGAGCUUAGCCAUUUUCCUACCAAGGAUGUACAUUUUAAUCUGCCAUCACAAUGAAUGCUGCCCAACUAGGUGACCUGGGGCUUAUAUACUUUCAAGUAUUUCCAGCAAAUUCUAGAAGUAGCAAUACUGGGAAAGGGGUAUUUAGGUUAAAGGAUUUGAAAGUUAAAGCCCAAGCACCCUUCCAAAGUCUUAUAUCAGCUCAUGUUCCCACCAACAGUGCAGAGUAUUAUAUAUGAUGGUGUGCACUUUUACAUUAGAACUAUCUGCAAGAUUGCUUCAAAUAGCCAACUUUCUUGGUACUUACGAUUUCCCCAAAUUAGAUUCACAUGGCAUUUUCUGGCAUCUGUUAGGAUAGAGCUGAAUGGUCUGGCUGAAGCGUGCGUGCUGCCUUUGGGGUCAGCCCCCUACCUGCUGUGGAGCUCAGCUGGGCAGGGAUUCCUCUGGCUUGUCCUACGGGCUUGGAGCGGGUCUGUGUUGGCAGUGGGAACCAGGCAAUCUGUAAGGUUCCACCAUGGGUCAACAUUCCAUAAUUUCUAUCCACUCUCUCCUAGGAUUGGAACGGGAUCACAAGUCCUUUGGGGGCAUUAGGAGGUGACAGCUCUUGGAAAUAACUUCUCGAAUGCAGAAGGCUUUGUGGAAUCUCAGUCUCUAUCUUUUCAAAGAAAGUAACAAUGUGGAACAGUGCUAGGCCACCUGGCAGGUGGCAGGGUGCUGGACCCGGGGACCACCUGAGAGUCUUGAAAUCCCUUACUGUCUCUCUCUUACACAUUCCCUAACCACCCUGGAUGGAGGCCAGUUCCUCUCCAUUCAUCUUCUAAACCGAGAGUUGGCUGACUAGGGCCUGUGGGUCAAAUCCAGCCGGUAGCCUCUUUUUGUAAUAAUGUCUUAUUGGAAUAUAGUCCUGUUCAUUUGUUUGUCAAUUGCCUAUGGCUGAUUUUGCAACUGCAGAAUUAAGUAGUUGGGAUAGAUAGUGUGGCCUGCAAAAGCUGAGAUAUUUAUUAUCAGGCCUUUUCUACACAAAACAUACCAUCCUUCUCUGUCUUUUACAUUUAUUCCCUCUUCUUCCUGUAGUUCCUCACGUCUUGCCUGGACUCCUGCAGUAGCCAACAAACUGGGUUCAGCUGGAGUUAUCUUUCUUAAGUGCAUAUGUAAGGAGGGCAGGUCCUCAAAGGCCUCCAUUUCUCCUAGUGCCCACGAUCUGAGUGGCAUGUGGUCUAAGAUCCUGUAGAGUCUGCAGCCACCUCUGCUCUCUCAUUUGCUUGGGCCCACAAAUACUCAGGUAUAUUCCCAGUCACUACAAACUCUUGUAUUUCCUGAGAGUGUCACUCCCUAUCUCACCCCUUCUGCUUUUACUCAUGCCGGGAUCCUUGCCUGGGGUCUCGUCCACCAAAUGCACUGUCCCUUCUUCAGGGAUGCAUGUUUGGACACCUACAUUAACAAGACAUUCUUGCUCCUCGUAAAGCUCUCGGGCACAUCUCUGCUGCAGUGCUUAUGUGGCAUUAUUUGUAAUUGUAUGUGUCCCUCACUGAGCGUGAGCGCCAGCGUGCAGGGAGCUUGUCUCAUUGUCCUCAGCAGUUAGCAGUGUCUGUCCUGUACUGGUGGCUGAAGAGAUGUUUGUUGAAUGACUAAGCGCCAGUCUUCCCAUGGCUCUUGCUGUUUGCCAAUAUGCCACAGGCAUGGGUAUAUUCUCAUUUUACAGAUGUGGUAACUAAGGGUGCAGAGACGUGAAGUCACUUGCCCAGGGCCGCAGAGCUUGCCAGGAUUUGAACCAUAGUAAAGAGGCAGCAUGGAGAAUCUCAAGUUCUAAGUCCCUCGUUAAUGAGCAAAUGAGUAAAGGAAUGAGUUCAGUGAGAUGCUGUGAACUGAGGAUAGGAAAGGUAAACGCUACACGACCUCAUGAAACCCAUUAGUAGAGUUUAUAAAAGAAAAACACAGAGAUUCCAGGAGACCUGGCAGAGAUGGAGACUAUGGGGAUCAACAGUCCACAGAGUUCAGGGAGAGUUUAAGGCAAGUGAAAAGAAAUCAAACCAUCCUGUGAAUUUCUUGGAAGUUUCUUUUUGGAAGGAACGGUGGGGCCACAGUUAAACUAACAAGGCCUACCCCUAAGGAAGAAAGGGCACCAACCUUGGCAUUUAUGGUAUGCCUUCUAAAUGCCUGACACUGUGCCAGUGAGCUGCACCUAUGCUGGCUGUGAAUGAAAAAUUGACCCCUCCCCAUAAAACCUUUCUGACUCAAUAAAUUUUCAUUGAGCAGCUACUAUAUGACAAGCCCUGGAUCCAGAUGCCAAGAGAACAAAAAUGAAUGGCAGUCUAGGGGUGUCCAGUGUUGCAGAGACAGAUGAGAAUACAAUUCUAACAACGUGGUCAGCGUUAUCAGAGAGGUACACCCAGGAGCAGAGGGGAUCCAACUCUGCCUGUAGACGGAGAGAAAGAUUUCAAGACAGCAGCGAUUGGUUUGGGUUUUGAAGAAUGAAUAGAAGUUUGCCAGGUGAACUAGGCAGGGAAGGACUUCCAGAGAAAAAGGCCCAGUGAGGCGUGGCAAAGGGAGGUCAACCAGGGAGGAUCUCAUGGGACAUGCUUUGAGCUUGGUUUUGACCUGCAAAGUGACCAAAAAAUUGCAAAAGGGUUUUGAGGAGUUUUUAAAUUUUUAUUAUUUUAAAAAUAAUUUGCAAUUAUUUUAAAAAUGUAUGUGCAUGACAGUUGUGUGGCAGAAACAAAGAGGCACAACUGGAAGGAGGGAAAACAGCUAGGAUUGCUGUAGUCCAAGUGGAAAAUAAUAAAGUCUUUGAAAAAGCUCAGGUUAUUAAGAUCCUCCUUUAAGGGGGCUACACAUACACAGAGACAACAGUGUGGUCUGAAUUUUGAGAGUGCAUACACACACACACAAAAAAAAUGUUCUAUAUUCAAAUGUUAGAAUAAAAGUAUCCAAUAUAAACAGAAAAUAUGGACAACAGCUCUAGUCCUAUUUAGUCUUUGAUAAGUGCAUGUGUUCUGUAAGUUGCAAAUAGGGAGGGGAAGGUAAGAAUCAAGGUCAGUUAAGGCAAAGGUGAGAAAAAUAGUGUAUUAGCUAUAUGUUGCCGUGUAACAAGUUAGCCUCCCCCUCCAAGGUUAGCAGCUUAAAACAGCCAACAUUAUCUCACAGUUUCAAUAGGCCAGGUACUUGGGUAUGGCUCUGUUGGGUGUUUUUAGUUUGGGGGUAUUGUGAAGCAGUCAGGUGAGGUGGUGAGUCUUCAUUUGGGGCUGAAGAAUUGGAUUCCAAGAUGGUUUGCUAAUGAAGCUGGCAAAUUUAUGCUGGUGUUUAGCAGAAGGCCUCAGUUCCUCAUCAUCAAGGCCUUCCCAUAGGAUUGCUUGAGUGUCUUUGUGACGUGUACCUGGCUUUCCCCAUGGCUUUUCUCCUACUCGCAGCAGACAUCGCUUCUUCUGCAGACAUCUCUCUUCUCCAAGAGAGAACAGAAGAAGGCAAAUGAAGCCAUGUCUGCUGCGAGUAGCCUUGGCUGUCAACCGCGGUCAUCGCGAUAGCUGUUGGUUGUGCUCUUGGUCCUAUUGGUUGUGCUAACCAGGGGGCAAGCUGGGUGGGGUAGUGUGAAGGAGAAGGAGAGAGAUUUGGAGAUGGAAAUCGAUGGAUCAUCGUCACCCUGCCAUCCCAUGUCUCAGCCUCCUCUUCUGGGAAAUGAAGCUCCGACUCCAAACCCUGUUGGAGUGCAAAGACCAUUUGAGAAAAGGCUUGCAAAAUGCUUUUUUUGAAGCAUAAAGUGCUGUGGCAUGGCCUUGUACUGGGACUGUGUGAACAGGAGGGGUCUUUAUGAGAGUCCAUAUUUUGUCCAGAUGGCAAGUUUGGCCUUGACAAACCUGGGAGCCGUGCACAGAGGGCUCUUCAUCUCUUGCUCCGGUGGCUGUAGAAAUCCAAUAAAUGACACUUCUUGAUCUCUGCUUCUAGAUGCUGGGAGCAGCACAAUAAUGACUUCAUUUCAUUCUCUCAGUGAGUCUCAGACAGGGCAUCUGUGUAGUGCACCUUGUGAGUGAGGAAACUGAGGUUUAGUUACAUCACUUGCUUUGAACAUGGAGUCUGGGAUGCAGGUGGCCCUGGUGCCUGAGAGCAAGGCAAAUGAGAGACGGGCUCUGAAAGCCAGAGCAGUGUCCCUCUUGCCUAUAUCUGGGGCCUGGGACACCUUCAUAGCUGGGUUUUGCAGGCUUGCAGAAAGGGGAACAAGGAACCAGUUUCCUCCUACCCCUGAAUACCUCAGCACCCUUGGCCCUGGGUUGAUGAAGGGUCCUGUGUGUGGGUGUGUGUGAGCACACCAACAACUGCUGCCCCCAGGCUGAGGAUUAGGGUGAUGGGCCCUACUGGGCCCUCUGGAGCUGGACACAGGCCAGAGCUGCACGGCACAGGGCUCUGGCCUCCUGGGAGUGCAGGUCUCAGGCCAUUCUCAGAAAAGCAUUUUGUAGCAAGGCCACUCCAGGUGCCAGGCCAGACCAUCAAUCCCUCACUUUUCGGAGCAGUGAGUUUAUAAAGUAGCAAUUAAAUAAGAGCUCUGUAAGUGCUUCUGGGAACUGCCCUGAAUGCAUUUUCCAAACAUAAAUAACGGGGGACCUCCACUCCGAGCAAAGCAUGCGGAGGGCCGAGAAGCAGCGCUGGAAAGAAGAGAGCCCUGUUGUGCUAACGAGUUGGGCUACGUGCCCCUGGUGUGCACGUGUGCUCCGUGUAGGUGGCAAGGCCAUUUGUCUCACUCGCCUGGGUGGCACGCCAGCCUGCCUGGACAGGUCGUGGUGAGGAAGGGUGGCUGUGGCUCCCACCCUGCUAGGAAGGCAGGACAUUCUCAUAUCAGAGUCAGUGAAGAUGAUGGCAGAAGCAAGAACAAUGGCAGCCUCUAUCUGCUGAGCACCUACUAGGUGCCAAAGGCCACAGGUUCCCUGAUGAUCGGGAGGUUUACAGACUUGUUCAAGGUGACAAAGCCUGUAAGGUGGGGGUGGGGGCAGUGAGUCCAAAUGAGAACUCUCAUCAUCUUCACUAUAAAGGCACUUAGAUGACAGAGACUGCUCUAAGAGUUUUCUCUUAAGUUUCCCAACAAAUCUGCGAAGUAGGUGUUGACCCAAUCCUAUUUUGAAGGGGAAAACUGAGGCCUGGAAAAGUUGAAUCUCUAGUUCAGAGUCACACUAAGCCAGCAUUUGGGCCCAGGCAACUGGGCUGCAGAGGUGCUGCAUCUGAACUCUGGUACCAGGUGAUUAUGGUCAACUGUCUGUCUCAGCAAAGUUGGGUUCAGAGAGCAGCACUGGGUCAGUCGUACCCAUCUGCCCUCUUUUCCACAGAGGCCCUCCUGGUCCCGUUUCUAGCCUUGGCCGAGAGCAUCCUCCCAGUCUCUCCUGUGGGUUCCCUUAGUGAUGCCGGGAUGGGAUGGGCCCCCCCUUAUCUGCUCUCACACCUUGUGCCGGCACAUUGCCCGGGUCCCCUGUCCCCUAUGUCUGCCCAUGUAUGAAGGGUCACUCACUCUAUAAAGUAUUUCCUGCCAGGUGUGGUGGUGUACACCUGUAAUCCCAGAGACUCAGAAGGCUGAGGCAAGAGGAUCUCAAGCCUGCCUGGGCAACUUAAUGAGACCUUGUCUCAAACACACACACACACACAGAACAGCACCCUGGGUUCAAUCCCUCGAUCACACACAGAAGUAUUUUCUGACCCACUUAACUGAAUGUCCUUCCUCUGAAUACUUGCGUCAGUGUGUGUAUUUAUUCUGUCUCUCUGGAUUCUGUAACUCCUCUCAUGGUGCCUGGCACAUAGUAGGGAUUCAACAGACAUUGGUAGGUGAGUGGAGCCAUUUCCUGGCAUAGAUGGACAAUCAGAUCACUGAGUUUCCAACAGUGCUUGCAAGACUCCUCAGCCAGAGCAGGACCCAGGGGAACAAGACCUGACCUUGGCUUUGCCAUUAACUUUCUGGGUAACUUGGCCACUUCAUUCCUUCCUCUGGACUCAGUUUUCUCAUCCAUAAGACGGGAUCAUUUAUACCUUCUCGGCAAUUUUCUUGAGGGGUAAAUAGGAUAUAGAAAGCAAAGAUACCCUGCACAUAAUGGACUUUUAAGAAAUGCUAGUCCCCCCCGCCACCCCAUCCCUAUUAAAUAGACUCUCAGGAGAGUGGAGGAUAGAGAUAAUUGAAUGGCACUGUGAAAUGCCCUUUGCAAUGCAUGCCUCUGUGGAUCACCAUGGUCCUUCCAUCCCACCGAGGUGGGGUCUCUUUACUUUCUGCAGAAGAUUCAGUCAAAACAAAACUUCUUUCCCUUCCUUUCUCAGGGACCUGGAGUGGAUUCUGGCUACCAGUUCUUUGUGGUGUCCCCCCUGAGUGCUGUCUUCCCAGCCGUCUCUCACCAGAGGAUCCCAUAGUAUAAACCCCAUCAAGAAUCUGGCCCCUGUUCAUUCCCGAGCUAGGAGUCAGUGAUUUCCCUGUCUUUGACAGACUCCAUCCGAGUUGCCAGUGAUUAAGAAACUCAUAUAUUUUCACACUCAUUAAAAGAAACAUGAUGUUCACUCUUCCAAGAAAAGCCAUCCUUGUUUGUAGACCCUGUAAUAUAUUGGGAACGCCUCUUAAUUGGCUUCUAGGACUCAGUGUCAGAAGUCAGACCCAAGUUUGUUUAUUGACACAAGGAAAAAAAUAAAACGUUGUAUAAUUAGUUGAGUGACUGACUCUAAAUUCAGUAACUCCCAUCGGUAUGUGGCCUUGUCAGGGUUUAAGAUUCCAUUUUGGGUUAUGAAAGAGGCCGGGUCCAGGUAGUCCAGACGCGGCUGCACUGCAUCAUAGCUAUUGUACAAAUGGGCUCAGUGUGCUGUUUGUGUUAAGAUGGAAAACUUUUACAUGUUUGAUUUUUAUGCAAGUCAAUUAACUUGUUUUUUAUAACUGUAAGGGCUUGCUUUGCAAAUAAGAUUACUUACCACUAUAAAUUAUGGGAACAUAGGGGCCUAUUCAGACAAAAUGUUACACACCCCUAACCCGUGCACCAAGCUGCUUGCUGGCCUUCUGCAGGGGGACAGCUGAGGCAAAUGGGACCUGCUGAUGGGGAGGUGGAGGAGGAGGAGGGAGGGGUUGUUUUUGUGCAUUCUGAAGGACCCUUCCAAGAAGGAUGCAAAAGGGGUCUGGAAGUCUGGGGGUGGAGGUAAAGGAAUGAACCAGAAUACCGUGCUCUGUGCUUGGCCCAGGGCCAUCCUGGCUCUCCAGCUGGUGCAGAGGUGGCCAAGACCUUUCCUUGCAGGACAAUGCAAGAAUCUCUCAUUUGGAGGUGUUCCCCCUCCCACAAAUGUUUGCUUCUUGGUGACAGUACCUCUGCCUGGAGUUUGAAAUUUGGGGCGGGGCUGAGUCUGGGGUUUAUCCUCACUGCUGUUUCGUCACCUGUUGUGCAACAAUGCUCAUCCUAUCCUGGCAUCCAGUGGGCACCCCCCUCUGGCAUACAGGGAGGGGUGAGGGUAGGCCAUGGGGCGGAGGGGGAGGGAGACAGGCGCCAGCAUUUCUGCAAGAUGCCUCAAUGGUGGAGAGGGGCAGAGCAGGCAGGAAAGGAGAGAGGAGAGUCGUCUUGGGUCCCCGUGACUUACCCCCUCCCUGUACAGUUUUAGUAGCAGGCUCUGUAGUUCUGGAAGGUGAAGUUGUCUCCCAGAUCCCUUUGGGAGCUUAGGUGCAUUCUUUCUUGUUCAGGAUCUCAGAGUUUUCCUCAUCUGUGAAAUGGGAGCAGAAUCUCUGGCCUGGCAUAACUUCCAGGGACACAUGGUUACGUGCAAUCUUCAACUGGGUGAUUUUGCCUCCCAGCCCCAGAGACAUUUGGUGAUGUCCAAAGACAUUGUGGUUGUUACAACUGGAGGCUGGGCCCUGGUAUCUAGGAGUUCAAGGCCAAAGAUUCUGCUAAAUAUCCAACAAGGUGCUGGUUAACCGGCCACCCCAAACACAGAGUUAUCUGAUCCAAAAUGAUAGCAGCGUAGAGUUUGAGAAGUCUGUGGCUCCAAGGCACAGGAGGGAGAAAGACUUCUGGGGGCUGAUCGGUAUUUGGGAUGGAGUUUAGUUGACUGUAGACUCAAUAUGGACCAUCUGGUCACUCAGGAACAAAGGAAGAGGUCUUCAGCAGUAUCGGCUCACAAACACUGGCUAUCACUUCUGAUCUGGUGUUUUUAGAUGCACGUGGUUCUGUUAGUACCUCACAGCAUCACCAUGGGGCACAGCUAUGCCAUAACAAAUAUCAUAUCAUAAUCCUAAUAAGAACUGGGAUUUUUCAGUCCUCAUUCUGCUGAUAAAGAAAUCUGGUUUUAAAAAGACAAAGACAAUUGUCUAAAAUCACAUCGGGAGCCUUCCAGCACUCGAUCCUUGUCACAUCCUGCAGGACUCUGGAUGCAUAUUACAUUACGAAAUAACUGAUUUUGAGGCAAAGCCAAAAGUCAUUGUUAGGCAUUUCGUCACCACAUUUGCAGCUAUAUCCCCAAGGGAGGCUUGCCUUCUCAAGACAAUCCUGCUUCCUGCAUAUACCAUGAGACUUGUACCCAUUUUUUUUUUGAGAGGGAGAGAGAGAGAGAGAGAGAGAGAGAGAGAGAGAAUUUUUUAAUAUUUAUUUUUUAGUUUUCGGUGGACACAACAUCUUUAUUUUAUGUGGUGUUGAGGAUCAAACCCAGAGCCCUGCGCAUGCCAGGCAAGCACGUUACCGCUUGAGCCACAUCCCCAGCCCUUGUACCCACUCUUAUUGGGCCAGAGGUCAUGGCCUCCAUGUCUUUCACCUCUGUUGAAUGAGGGGCCCUUUGAGGGUAGGGGUCGUAUCUUAAUUGUCUUGACAGGCCCCUUCAAGCUGUAGUUUCCUCUUUCAGAAAAUAGGACAAUGGAUUCUACCUCACCUGGCAGACCUCUGUCCAAUGCUAUGAAACACCUGGAUAAAGCAAGAAUGGUGGCUUUCUCUAGUGCCCGAGACUCCAGGCCUUACCCGUCUCCUUAUUCUUUCUUCCUUGCUUGCUUGAGGUCACUUUUGGUUGCCAAGAGGUAGAGAAAGCAAAGGAUUUGUGCAGAGUGGGAAUUCUGAGGAUUCUAUUUUUUGUUAUUCAAUAAAGUCAAUAACAGGGCUUAUGGAAAACUGGGGAUUGUAUGUGUCAAGGGAAUUGGUCUUUGUGAAUCUGGUUUUCAUAAGUAAUAAAAAUCACUGGUGCCAUUUCAACUCAAAAAUCAUUUCUGCUCUGGCUCCUCAGAUCAUCCAAGGAUCAGAUGUCCCCAAAGAGAUGACAAGUCAAACUGCCACUUGGCAGACCUGGAAAUCACAGAAUGGUUAGCACCGGUGUCUUCACUUAUGAUGAGAUUCAUGUCUGAUGGGAUGUGUUCUCCCCUGCGCUGCUCAGAAAGUGUGCUCAUUGGAUGGAGGCCUCAGAAAACUCAUCUGACAUGUUGGCCAUAACUUUAUCCAAGUCUGAAUUCAACAUCAUUAUGCAGUCAAUUCGAUACUAGAUGCUGUGGUAUAAAAGUGAAAAAGACAAAGCUCUGUUGUCCAGGUCAUCAAUGGCUUUGAGGACAUACUCAUUCAUUCAUUUAUCUUAUAAAUCAUUUUUUAGCAUCUUUCGUGCAGGGAGCUGGGGGCUCCCAAGAAAAUUAUCCUCUGUGAGUUUCAAUCUUUCUUUCUAUAUAAUAGGAAUAAUAAAACUUUCAUUGUAGUAUUAAAUGCCCAUUUUCAGGCAUAAAGUCAAUAUUCAAGUAAUGAUUGUUACUAUUUCUACAUUCUAAAAAGUUGUGAUUUCACAGUAGCAGUCGUGGUAUAAAAGGCAUAAAUAAAAUUUUUUAGCAAGAAUGUGAGAAUUAACAUUAGCAUGUUAAUGACUCUAAAUACAGACCCUGUAAAAGAUCUUGGAAGGUUCCCCAGAGGAGAAGAGACAGGAGUCUCAAGGACAGAGAAUCCUAGAUCCUAGCUAGAGUCAAGAUUAAGUUCUACUUCUUCCUUUCAGUUCAGC